UACGUAGGGCCCAAGCAUUAUCCGGAAUUACUGGGCGUAAAGGGUGCGUAGGUGUUCUAACAAGUCGGUCGUUAAAUCUCACUGCUUAACAGUGAGGCCGCGAGCGAUACUGUUAGAAUUGAGUCUUUCAGGGGCAAGCAGAAUUCUUGGAGUAGGGGUGAAAUCCGUUGAUACCAAGAGGAAUACCAACGGCGAAGGCAGCUUGCUAGGGAAUGACUGACACUGAGGCACGAAAGCGUGGGGAGCAAACGGG
RNAcentral lists this ribosomal RNA (253 nucleotides) under uncultured bacterium. RNAcentral describes it as "partial 16S ribosomal RNA". It matches the Rfam family "Bacterial small subunit ribosomal RNA", at positions 524 to 776 of the family's 1533-position model. The record is from RNAcentral.